Molecule: ribosomal RNA, 518 nt
Filed under: uncultured bacterium
Lineage: Bacteria
Description: bacterial SSU rRNA
Rfam family: Bacterial small subunit ribosomal RNA
Source: RNAcentral
AGAGUUUGAUUCUGGCUCAGGAUGAACGCUAGCUACAGGCUAACACAUGCAAGUCGAGGGGCAGCGAGAGGAAGCUUGCUUCCUGUCGGCGACCGGCGCACGGGUGAGUAACGCGUAUCCAACCUUCCCUAUAGUAGGGGAUAGCCCGGUGAAAGUCGGAUUAAUACCCUAUGUUUUCCGAUGAGGACAUCUGAGCUGGAACAAAGGUUUACCGCUAUAGGAUGGGGAUGCGUCUGAUUAGCUUGUCGGCGGGGUAACGGCCCACCGAGGCUACGAUCAGUAGGGGUUCUGAGAGGAAGGUCCCCCACAUUGGUACUGAGGCACGGACCAAACUCCUACGGGAGGCAGCAGUGAGGAAUAUUGGUCAAUGGGCGCGAGCCUGAACCAGCCAAGUAGCGUGCAGGAAUGACUGCCCUAUGGGUUGUAAACUGCUUUUAUGCGGGAAUAAAGUCAGGUACGCGUACCUGUUUGUAUGUACCGCAUGAAUAAGGACCGGCUAAUUCCGUGCCAGCAGCAGC